CCUACGGGAGGCAGCAGUAGGGAAUAUUGGGCAAUGGAGGCAACUCUGACCCAGCCAUGCCGCGUGAACGAAGAAGGCGCUAUGCGUCGUAAAGUUCUUUUAGAGGGGGCGAAAACACUUGAUUCAUCAAGUACUGACGGUACCUUCGGAAUAAGCACCGGCUAACUCUGUGCCAGCAGCCGCGGUAAUACAGAGGGUGCAAGCGUUAUCCGGAAUCACUGGGUUUAAAGGGUGCGUAGGCGGGAUUAUAAGUCAGAGGUGAAAUCUCGUCGCUUAACGACGGAAUUGCCUUUGAUACUGUUUUUCUUGAAAUUUGUUGAGGUUGGCGGAAUGAGACAUGUAGCGGUGAAAUGCUUAGAUAUGUCUUAGAACACCGAUUGCGAAGGCAGCUGACUGGACAAUAUUUGACGCUGAGGCACGAAAGCGUGGGGAUCAAACAGGAUUAGAUACCCUGGUAGUCCACGCCCUAAACGAUGUUACUUGCUGUUUNUUUUUCGGAAUGAGUGGCGAAGCGAAAGCGAUAAGUAAACCACGUGGGAGUACGCCGNGAAGGGUGAAACUGAAAGAUUGACGGNUGNGAGNGCGAGACGACGACGAGGAGAGG
RNAcentral lists this ribosomal RNA (604 nucleotides) under uncultured bacterium. RNAcentral's name for it is "bacterial SSU rRNA". It matches the Rfam family "Bacterial small subunit ribosomal RNA", at positions 338 to 946 of the family's 1533-position model. The record is from RNAcentral.